UACGUAGGCAGCGAGCGUUGUUCGGAGUUACUGGGCGUAAAGAGUGCGUAGGCGGUUUUCUAAGUUUGGUGUGAAAUCUCCCGGCUUAACUGGGAGGGUGCGGCGAAAACUGGAAGGCUUGAGUAUGGGAGAGGUAAGCGGAAUUCCUGGUGUAGCGGUGAAAUGCGUAGAUAUCAGGAGGAACACCUGCGGUGUAGACGGCUUACUGGACCAUAACUGACGCUGAGGCACGAAAGCGUGGGGAUCGAACAGG
This 253-nucleotide ribosomal RNA is filed under the name uncultured bacterium. RNAcentral's name for it is "partial 16S ribosomal RNA". It matches the Rfam family "Bacterial small subunit ribosomal RNA", at positions 524 to 776 of the family's 1533-position model. The record is from RNAcentral.